CUGGCUCAGGAUGAACGCUGGCGGCGUGCUUAACACAUGCAAGUCGAGCGAGAAAUGAGAGAUUGAAUCUUCGGAUGAAAGAUCUCAUGGACAGCGGCGGACGGGUGAGUAACGCGUGGGCAACCUGCCCUUAACUGAGGGAUAGCCGAGGGAAACUUCGUGUAAUACCUCAUAACGCAUUUUGACCGCAUGAUCGAAAUGCCAAAGAUUUAUCGGUUAAGGAUGGGCCCGCGUUCGAUUAGCUUGUUGGUGAGGUAGCGGCUCACCAAGGCGACGAUCGGUAGCCGGCCUGAGAGGGUGAACGGCCACAUUGGAACUGAGACACGGUCCAGACUCCUACGGGAGGCAGCAGUGGGGAAUAUUGCACAAUGGGCGAAAGCCCUGAUGCAGCAACGCCGCGUGAAGGAAGAAGGUCUUCGGAUCGUAAACUUCUGUCCUUAGGGAAGAACAAUGACGGUACCUUUGGAGGAAGCCCCGGCUAACUACGUGCCAGCCGCGGC
RNAcentral lists this ribosomal RNA (500 nucleotides) under uncultured bacterium. RNAcentral describes it as "bacterial SSU rRNA". It matches the Rfam family "Bacterial small subunit ribosomal RNA", at positions 19 to 518 of the family's 1533-position model. The record is from RNAcentral.